Molecule: transfer RNA, 71 nt
Filed under: Camelus bactrianus (Bactrian camel)
Lineage: Eukaryota; Metazoa; Chordata; Mammalia; Artiodactyla; Camelidae
Also listed under: 2 other names
Rfam family: tRNA
About the family: Transfer RNA (tRNA) molecules are approximately 80 nucleotides in length.
Source: Rfam by way of RNAcentral
GAGAGUAUAGCUCAGUGGUGGAGUGCCUGCUUACCAUGACAAGGUCCUGGGUUCAAUCCCCAGUACCUCCA